AAAAGAAAGCAAGGCAAGGCCCAUGUAUGUUGAAAGGCUGUCCAUGUCAGCGCACAUUACUGCUCCUCCUCCCUGAUCCGCGCGGUUGCCGGCGGCCGUCUUCCGCCUACCGCCAGCUCCAGCUCGAAAUGGACCUGCCGUCAAGCCGGAGGACCAGGCGGCGACAGGAGACCUCGAGCUCUGCCUCUUCUGACUCCUCCAUCCGCGCGCUCUGAGCGCGAGGGGGCAGGACGCGACCGGGGCGGGGGCUGGCUCCGGUCCAGCUCGUGCGGGUGGAGGUGGAGGACGGGGCCUUGGACGGCGCUGCCGCGUCUUCGGCUGUCCGGUGGAUUCUAGGAGGCGCCGUGCUAGCUGCGGAGAUCUCGGGCAUAGUCUUGGAUGUCAAUUCAUAUUGAAGAGCCCGAGCUGUUAUGCGCUUGUGGAAGGCCAGCAGAGUCGAAAACUGCUCGUGUCGACAGUAAUCCUGAUUGUCCCUUAUUCAAAGCCUGCCAUCCUGUAUGAGUCUUCCAUAUUGAGUUGUCCUCUUACUCUAGACAUUACAUUGAUUUUGUUCACGUGAUUUUCAGUUGCUUGCUGUUUCAUAAAUGGAAUAAGUCCAGUUUACCCCUCUAAACUUGUCAAGGAGUCUGGAAUA
Panicum virgatum (switchgrass) is the source of this 634-nucleotide long non-coding RNA. RefSeq lists it as uncharacterized. The transcript is spliced from 2 exons. The record is from RefSeq and is a predicted model, not a curated record. Lineage: Eukaryota; Viridiplantae; Streptophyta; Magnoliopsida; Poales; Poaceae.